RNAcentral lists this ribosomal RNA (465 nucleotides) under Salmonella enterica subsp. enterica serovar Durham. RNAcentral's name for it is "partial 23S ribosomal RNA". It matches the Rfam family "Bacterial large subunit ribosomal RNA", at positions 2238 to 2702 of the family's 2925-position model. The record is from RNAcentral. Lineage: Bacteria; Pseudomonadati; Pseudomonadota; Gammaproteobacteria; Enterobacterales; Enterobacteriaceae.
AUCCGGGUUGCGGACAGUGUCUGGUGGGUAGUUUGACUGGGGCGGUCUCCUCCUAAAGAGUAACGGAGGAGCACGAAGGUUGGCUAAUCCUGGUCGGACAUCAGGAGGUUAGUGCAAUGGCAUAAGCCAGCUUGACUGCGAGCGUGACGGCGCGAGCAGGUGCGAAAGCAGGUCAUAGUGAUCCGGUGGUUCUGAAUGGAAGGGCCAUCGCUCAACGGAUAAAAGGUACUCCGGGGAUAACAGGCUGAUACCGCCCAAGAGUUCAUAUCGACGGCGGUGUUUGGCACCUCGAUGUCGGCUCAUCACAUCCUGGGGCUGAAGUAGGUCCCAAGGGUAUGGCUGUUCGCCAUUUAAAGUGGUACGCGAGCUGGGUUUAGAACGUCGUGAGACAGUUCGGUCCCUAUCUGCCGUGGGCGCUGGAGAACUGAGGGGGGCUGCUCCUAGUACGAGAGGACCGGAGUGGAC